RNAcentral lists this ribosomal RNA (500 nucleotides) under uncultured bacterium. RNAcentral describes it as "partial 16S ribosomal RNA". It matches the Rfam family "Bacterial small subunit ribosomal RNA", at positions 29 to 523 of the family's 1533-position model. The record is from RNAcentral.
AUUGAACGCUGGCGGCAUGCCUUACACAUGCAAGUCGAGCGGCAGCGCGGGGGCAACCCUGGCGGCGAGCGGCGAACGGGUGAGUAAUAUAUCGGAACGUGUCCUGUAGCGGGGGAUAACCUAUCGAAAGAUGGACUAAUACGGCAUACGACCUACGGGUGAAAGCGGAGGCACGCAAGGAUUCGCACUAUAGGAGCGGCCGAAGUCGGAUUAGCUAGUUGGCGGGGUAAAAGCCCACCAAGGCGACGAUCCGUAGCUGGUCUGAGAGGACGACCAGCCACACUGGAACUGGUACACGGUCCAGACUCCUACGGGAGGCAGCAGUAGGGAAUUUUGGACAAUGGGCGCAAGCUUGAUCCAGCCAUGCCGCGUGAGUGAAGAAGGCCUUCGGGUCGUAAAGCUCUUUCGGCGGGGACGAAAUGGUUCGUGCUAAUACCACGGACUGAUGACGGUACCCGAAGAAGAAGCACCGGCUAACUACGUGCCAGCAGCCGCAGUAA